GAUGAAGAACGUAGUGAAAUGCGAUAAGUAGUGUGAAUUGCAGAAUUCAGUGAAUCAUCAAAUCUUUGAACGCACAUUGCGCCCCUUGGUAUUCCAUGGGGCAUGCCUGUUCGAGCGUCAUUUGUACCCUCAAGCUAUGCUUGGUGUUGGGUGUUUGUCCUCUCCUUUUGCGAUUGGACUCGCCUUAAAGACAUUGGCAGCCAGUGUAUUGGUCUUGAAGCGCAGCACAUUUUGCGAUUCUUGCUGAUAAUCACUAGCGUCCAGUAAGCCUAUUUUAACACUUUUGACCUCGGAUCAGGUAGGGAUACCCGCUGAACUUAAGCAUAUCAAUAAGCGGAGGA
This 341-nucleotide unclassified non-coding RNA is filed under the name soil metagenome. Its description in RNAcentral is "partial contains 5.8S ribosomal RNA, internal transcribed spacer 2, and large subunit ribosomal RNA". The stretch from base 1 to 120 matches the Rfam family "5.8S ribosomal RNA", at positions 35 to 154 of the family's 154-position model. The record is from RNAcentral.